CCUACGGGUGGCUGCAGUGGGGAAUAUUGCACAAUGGGCGCAAGCCUGACGCAGCCAUGCCGCGUGUGUGAAGAAGGCCUUCGGGUUGUAAAGCACUUUCAGCGGGGAGGAAGGCGGUGAGGUUAAUAACCUCAUCGAUUGACGUUACCCGCAGAAGAAGCACCGGCUAACUCCGUGCCAGCAGCCGCGGUAAUACGGAGGGUGCAAGCGUUAAUCGGAAUUACUGGGCGUAAAGCGCACGCAGGCGGUCUGUCAAGUCGGAUGUGAAAUCCCCGGGCUCAACCUGGGAACUGCAUUCGAAACUGGCAGGCUAGAGUCUUGUAGAGGGGGGUAGAAUUCCAGGUGUAGCGGUGAAAUACGUAGAGAUCUGGAGGAAUACCGGUGGCGAAGGCGGCCCCCUGGACAAAGACUGACGCUCAGGUGCGAAAGCGUGGGGAGCAAACAGGAUUAGAUACCCUUGUAGUC
RNAcentral lists this ribosomal RNA (465 nucleotides) under uncultured Klebsiella sp. RNAcentral describes it as "bacterial SSU rRNA". It matches the Rfam family "Bacterial small subunit ribosomal RNA", at positions 338 to 795 of the family's 1533-position model. Lineage: Bacteria; Pseudomonadati; Pseudomonadota; Gammaproteobacteria; Enterobacterales; Enterobacteriaceae. The record is from RNAcentral.